AUUAAUUUGUAUACAUAUUAGUGUUUUAUUUUUACUAGUUUUCCUUUUAGAUGGAACUGAAUGCACAGAAUCCAUUUUGAUGUUAGAAAAGCAAGUCUCCAGUGAAACUCUGUUUGUUUCUGUUGACUGGACAAGAAGCAAUGAAGCCUGUGCAAUAGAGAAAAAAAUGGAGAUUGGCAUAUAAACACAUAUCAGCAUUUAUCAAGGCCGGUGGAGAAGAGAUAUCUUCUGAUCUAUGAAGCCUAGCCCUGUAUUUGUGAACGUAAAGAUUCCUGUCUUAUCUAAGAGCAAUAUUACCAAAAUGCACAGAUGACAGAAAAAUCAUUUGAAAU
RNAcentral lists this long non-coding RNA (332 nucleotides) under Pan troglodytes (chimpanzee). Its description in RNAcentral is "lncRNA (ENSPTRG00000053399.1)". Lineage: Eukaryota; Metazoa; Chordata; Mammalia; Primates; Hominidae. The record is from RNAcentral.